GGCUCUUCUUCUUCUGCAGCUUCUUCACCUCCCCCUUCUUCUUCUUCACGGUGCCCUCGAUCGCUUGCGCGUCGGCGUAGGUGGGGGAGGUCAAGAACGGCCAAUCCUCGAUCUGGGCAUCGAAGUCCGACGCCGAGUCGCACGGGAAGGCCUCGUUCUGCAGGGUUUCUUGGCCAAUUGGCUUGACCGAAGAAAACCCAGAUCUAGAUUCGAAAGAAACGACUACCAUUUUCUCUCUCUACUUCUCUCUCUCUCUCUCUCUCUCUCUCGGGGGUGACUGUGCGUGAGGCGGAGAGACAGAGGCUGCUUAUAAAAAGUGGAUCCAGAGGGGGGGAAAAGGCGAGAGCGUUUUUCUUGCGAUUUUCCCACGAUUUCUUUCCGAGAAAAGGACAGAGAAAAAUCGGGCGUGG
RNAcentral lists this long non-coding RNA (410 nucleotides) under Eucalyptus grandis. RNAcentral's name for it is "long non-coding RNA (EGRA_LNC007702)". The record is from RNAcentral. Lineage: Eukaryota; Viridiplantae; Streptophyta; Magnoliopsida; Myrtales; Myrtaceae.